RNAcentral lists this ribosomal RNA (497 nucleotides) under uncultured bacterium. RNAcentral's name for it is "partial 16S ribosomal RNA". It matches the Rfam family "Bacterial small subunit ribosomal RNA", at positions 28 to 507 of the family's 1533-position model. The record is from RNAcentral.
GAUGAACGCUGGCGGCGUGCCUAAUACAUGCAAGUAGAACGCUGAAGGAAGGAGCUUGCUCUUUCCGGAUGAGUUGCGAACGGGUGAGUAACGCGUAGGUAACCUGCCUGUUAGCGGGGGAUAACUAUUGGAAACGAUAGCUAAUACCGCAUAACAGUAGGUGUUGCAUGAUAUCUACUUAAAAGGUGCAAUUGCACCACUACCAGAUGGACCUCCGUUGUAUUAGCUAGUUGGGUAGGUAACGGCUCACCAAGGCGGCGGAACAUAACCGACCUGAGAGGGGGAACGGCCACACUGGGACCGGGACCCGGCCCAGACUCCUAAGGGGGGCAGCAGUAGGGGAUCUUCGGCAAUGGACGGAAGUCUGACCGGGCAACGCCGCGGGAGUGGAGAAGGGUUUCGGAUCGUAAAGAUCUGUUGUAAGAGAAGAAAGAAUGUGAGAGUGGAAAGUGCACACUGUGACGGUAUCUUACCAGAAAGGGACGGCUAACUACGUG